This 250-nucleotide ribosomal RNA is filed under the name uncultured bacterium. RNAcentral describes it as "partial 16S ribosomal RNA". It matches the Rfam family "Bacterial small subunit ribosomal RNA", at positions 525 to 775 of the family's 1533-position model. The record is from RNAcentral.
ACGUAGGGGGCUAGCGUUAUCCGGAAUUACUGGGCGUAAAGGGUGCGUAGGUGGUUUCUUAAGUCAGAGGUGAAAGGCUACGGCUCAACCGUAGUAAGCCUUUGAAACUGGGAAACUUGAGUACAGGAGAGGAGAGUGGAAUUCCUAGUGUAGCGGUGAAAUGCGUAGAUAUUAGGAGGAACACCAGUUGCGAAGGCGGCUCUCUGGACUGUAACUGACACUGAGGCACGAAAGCGUGGGGAGCAAACAG